Molecule: transfer RNA, 75 nt
Filed under: Candidatus Oleimmundimicrobium sp.
Lineage: Bacteria; Bacillati; Actinomycetota; Candidatus Aquicultoria; Candidatus Subteraquimicrobiales; Candidatus Oleimmundimicrobiaceae
Description: tRNA-Val
Rfam family: tRNA
About the family: Transfer RNA (tRNA) molecules are approximately 80 nucleotides in length. Their secondary structure includes four short double-helical elements and three loops (D, anti-codon, and T loops). Further hydrogen bonds mediate the characteristic L-shaped molecular structure. tRNAs have two regions of fundamental functional importance: the anti-codon, which is responsible for specific mRNA codon recognition, and the 3' end, to which the tRNAs corresponding amino acid is attached (by aminoacyl-tRNA synthetases). tRNAs cope with the degeneracy of the genetic code in two manners: having more than one tRNA (with a specific anti-codon) for a particular amino acid; and 'wobble' base-pairing, i.e. permitting non-standard base-pairing at the 3rd anti-codon position.
Source: RNAcentral
GGGCGAUUGGCUCAGCGGGAGAGCACCUGCCUUACAAGCAGGGGGUCGCAGGUUCAAAUCCUGCAUCGCCCACCA